This 155-nucleotide unclassified non-coding RNA is filed under the name uncultured Lophiotremataceae. RNAcentral describes it as "sequence contains ITS2". Lineage: Eukaryota; Fungi; Ascomycota; Dothideomycetes; Pleosporales; Lophiotremataceae. The record is from RNAcentral.
AAACCCUCAAGCUCUGCUUGGUGUUGGGCGCCUGUCCCGCCUCGGGCGCGGACUCGCCUCAAAAGCAUUGGCGGCCUGUGUAUAGGCUUCGAGCGCAGCAGACUCGCGCCUCGCAACCCUCUGGCACGGGCGUUCCAUCAAGACGCACCCCCAAA